CACCACAGCUGUAUCACCCUGCAACCCAAGACCAGUUAUCACUGAAGCUAAGCAGGGCUGAGCCUGGCCAGUACCUGGCUGUGAGAUAACGUGGGAAAACUAGGUUGCUGUUGGAA
Molecule: ribosomal RNA, 116 nt
Filed under: Danio rerio (zebrafish)
Lineage: Eukaryota; Metazoa; Chordata; Actinopteri; Cypriniformes; Danionidae
Source: RNAcentral